Cyclopterus lumpus (lumpfish) is the source of this 988-nucleotide non-coding RNA. Lineage: Eukaryota; Metazoa; Chordata; Actinopteri; Perciformes; Cyclopteridae. The record is from the annotation of a RefSeq genome assembly.
UGCAUCGUCAGCUGAUCCUCCAGAGAACUGAGAAGGUUUAUAGUCCUGUGAGUUCAAACCCUGCAGGACUCGGACCUGUCAGUCAACCCAGCAGGAACCACGACCACCAUGACUCUGAUCGCCCUCCUCGUCUGGACGCUGGCCUGCUGCUGCUUCACAGGAUGCAGCGGUCAGGUGACUGUGACUCAGCCUCCAGCAGUGACAUCUGCUCCAGGAUCCACCGUCACCCUCACCUGUAAGAGUAGUGAACCUGUUUACAGAUAUGGUGAUGGAGAUCAGGCUAUGUUCUGGUAUCAACAGAAAGCUGGACAGCCUCCACAGCUCCUCAUCAAAUAUGUGAGCACACUUCUAUCAGGAACACCAGCUCGGUUUAGUGGCGGUGGAAGCAGCUCUGACUUCACUUUGACCGUCAGUGGAGUUCAGAGUGAAGACGCAGCGGUUUAUUACUGUCAGAGUUACCACUCCGGUGGUGUGUACACUUUUGGUGGAGGAACCAAACUCAUCGUUGACUCUGGCCCCAUGGUCCAGCCCUCGGUCUCUCUGCUUCCCCCCUCCUCGGAGCAGCUCUCCGGGGGCUCGGCCACGCUGGCCUGCCUGCUGUCCGGCUACUCUCCUCAGGGGGCCGUGGUGAGCUGGGAGGUGGACGGCACGGAGGUGACAGAGGGGGUCCUGAGCAGCUCCGAGGAGGAGGAGAGCGGACGCCACAGCAGCAGCAGCACCCUGAACCUGAGCCGGCAGCGCUGGAUGGAAGGAGAGCUGUACUCCUGCAAGGUCCUCCAUCAUGGCCACAGCGAGACCCGGUCCCUCCACAGGAGCCAGUGUAAGGGCUAGAGGAGCUGGCUGAAGCCCAGGACGGGGAGCUCUGUGUGGGGGGGAGAGAGCAGCAGGAACCCACCUGCUGCUGCUCUGAUCAAUAUGAGUUUGAGUGAUUGUAAUCUAAAGAUGAUUGAUGUUGUUUCUAAUAAAAGGUUUCACUGAUGAAUAGCAA